UACAGAGGUCCCAAGCGUUGUUCGGAUUCACUGGGCGUAAAGGGUGCGUAGGCGGUUGGGUAAGUCUGAUGUGAAAUCUCACAGCUUAACUGUGAAACUGCAUUGGAUACUAUCCAACUCGAGGAAUGGAGGGGAGACUGGAAUACUUGGUGUAGCAGUGAAAUGCGUAGAUAUCAAGUGGAACACCAGUGGCGAAGGCGAGUCUCUGGACAUUUCCUGACGCUGAGGCGCGAAAGCUAGGGGAGCAAACAGG
This 253-nucleotide ribosomal RNA is filed under the name uncultured bacterium. RNAcentral describes it as "partial 16S ribosomal RNA". It matches the Rfam family "Bacterial small subunit ribosomal RNA", at positions 524 to 776 of the family's 1533-position model. The record is from RNAcentral.